GGGCGGGGCCAUCCAGGGGUGGGAUUAGCCCCAACCAGCUGAAUCCUACCUGUUCCUUUGGGGCAAGUGGCCAGGAGGCGGGGCUGGGUGUGAUGAGUGACAUCACCCACCCAUUCACAUGACGAACUGGCCAUGCCUAGCCAGCCAGAGAAC
Non-coding RNA from Pseudonaja textilis, 153 nucleotides. The record is from RefSeq and is a predicted model, not a curated record. Lineage: Eukaryota; Metazoa; Chordata; Lepidosauria; Squamata; Elapidae.